This 499-nucleotide ribosomal RNA is filed under the name uncultured bacterium. Its description in RNAcentral is "partial 16S ribosomal RNA". It matches the Rfam family "Bacterial small subunit ribosomal RNA", at positions 28 to 507 of the family's 1533-position model. The record is from RNAcentral.
GACGAACGCUGGCGGCGUGCCUAAUACAUGCAAGUCGAGCGAAGUUUUUCUGGUGCUUGCACCGGAAAAACUUAGCGGCGAACGGGUGAGUAACACGUAAAGAACCUGCCUUAUAGACUGGGACAACUAUUGGAAACGAUAGCUAAUACCGGAUAACAGCAUUAACUGCAUGGUUGAUGUUUGAAAGUUGGUUUUGCUAACACUAUGAGAUGGCUUUGCGGUGCAUUAGCUAGUUGGUGGGGUAAAGGCCUACCAAGGCGACGAUGCAUAGCCGACCUGAGAGGGUGAUCGGCCACACUGGGACUGAGACACGGCCCAGACUCCUACGGGAGGCAGCAGUAGGGAAUCUUCCGCAAUGGGCGAAAGCCUGACGGAGCAACGCCGCGUGAGUGAAGAAGGAUUUCGGUUCGUAAAGCUCUGUUGUUAGGGAAGAAUGAUUGUGUAGUAACGAUACACAGUAGAGACGGUACCUAACCAGAAAGCCACGGCUAACUACGUG